This 478-nucleotide ribosomal RNA is filed under the name uncultured bacterium. RNAcentral describes it as "partial 16S ribosomal RNA". It matches the Rfam family "Bacterial small subunit ribosomal RNA", at positions 28 to 523 of the family's 1533-position model. The record is from RNAcentral.
GACGAACGCUGGCGGCGUGCUUAACACAUGCAAGUCGAACGGUAAGGCCCCUCGGGGUACACGAGUGGCGAACGGGUGAGUAACACGUGGGUGAUCUGCCCUGCACUUCGGGAUAAGCCUGGGAAACUGGGUCUAAUACCGGAUAGGACCACUGCCUGCAUGGGUGGUGGUGGAAAGCUUUUGCGGUGUGGGGUGGGCCCGCGGCCUAUGAGCUUGUUGGUAGGGUGAUGGCCUACCAAGGGGACGACGGGUAGACGGCCUGGGAGGGUGCCCGGCCACACUGGGACUGAGGUACGGCCCAGACUCCUACGGGAGGCAGCAGUGGGGAAUAUUGCACAAUGGGCGCAAGCCCGAUGCAGCGACGCCGCGUGAGGGAUGACGGCCUUCGGGUUGUAAACCUCUUUCAGCACCGACGAAGCGCAAGUGACGGUAGGUGCAGAAGAAGGACCGGCCAACUACGUGCCAGCCGCCGCAGUAA